AUUGAACGCUGGCGGCAUGCCUUACACAUGCAAGUCGAACGGCAGCACGGACUUCGGUCUGGUGGCGAGUGGCGAACGGGUGAGUAAUAUAUCGGAACAUACCCAGUAGUGGGGGAUAACUAUCCGAAAGGAUAGCUAAUACCGCAUACGAUCUGUGGAUGAAAGCAGGGGAUCUUCGGACCUUGUGCUAUUGGAAUGGCCGAUAUCUGAUUAGCUAGUUGGUAGGGUAAAAGCCUACCAAGGCGACGAUCAGUAGCUGGUCUGAGAGGAUGACCAGCCACACUGGAACUGAGACACGGUCCAGACUCCUACGGGAGGCAGCAGUGGGGAAUUUUGGACAAUGGGGGCAACCCUGAUCCAGCAAUGCCGCGUGAGUGAAGAAGGCCCUCGGGUUGUAAAGCUCCUUUGUCAGGGAAGAAACGGAGUUCUCUAAUAUAGGAUUCUAAUGACGGUACCUGAAGAAUAAGCACCGGCUAACUACGUGCCAGCAGCCGCGGUAAUACGUAGGGUGCAAGCGUUAAUCGGAAUUACUGGGCGUAAAGCGUGCGCAGGCGGUUUUGUAAGUCUGAUGUGAAAUCCCCGGGCUCAACCUGGGAACUGCAUUGGAGACUGCAAGGCUAGAGUGUGUCAGAGGGGGGUAGAAUUCCACGUGUAGCAGUGAAAUGCGUAGAGAUGUGGAGGAAUACCGAUGGCGAA
Molecule: ribosomal RNA, 696 nt
Filed under: uncultured beta proteobacterium
Lineage: Bacteria; Pseudomonadati; Pseudomonadota; Betaproteobacteria
Description: bacterial SSU rRNA
Rfam family: Bacterial small subunit ribosomal RNA
Source: RNAcentral